Molecule: long non-coding RNA, 1064 nt
Filed under: Podarcis muralis (Common wall lizard)
Lineage: Eukaryota; Metazoa; Chordata; Lepidosauria; Squamata; Lacertidae
Description: lncRNA (ENSPMRG00000016323.1)
Source: RNAcentral
CUUUAAACAAUUUUCAGUGACUGUCUAUAUAGGGACAGCCUGUGUGAAUUCUCCAUCUGCUGCAGGAAAAACCUGAGUCACUUUUCUGAAAUAAAAUGUUAUUUAAUUUUUUGGGGGGUGUUGCCCAUAGGUCUCUCAUGAUUUUGCAAUCAACUUUAAUGAAGACAACCCAGAAUGUGCAGGGAUCCAAGGAGUGGUCGAAGCGUAUCAGAACUGCCUGCCUAAGCUCCAGCUCUAUGGGCCUACAAACAUUGCUCCCAUCAUUCAGAAGGUGGCUAAAUCAGCCUCAGAAGAAAGCAACAGUAAGGAGGCAUCGGUGAGAAUCAUAGCAGACUGGAAAGCUAAACUAGACCUUGGGUGUCAACUGCAUCCUCAAUAAUGCAUAACAGAUUAAUUGACCAUGAACACACUCUGACAACCCGUGUGUACUUGCUAUCCUAGGGAUGGUAAAGGGAUGAGUUUCCCCUACUUUUUCAGUGCACGUUUGGAGGGUUCAUUUUAGUUGGGGCACUUGGUCUGGAACCAAGAAGUGAUGGGGAUGGGGGGAAAGGGAAGCCAUUUCCACUUAAUUCAGUGAGUAUGGAAUAGUGUGCUCUUGUGUCUGUUAGUAACCAAACAAUUAAACCCCUGUGUUGCAAACAAUUAUCAGUAAUAUCCAAGGCAACACAAUGACCAAGUACAACAAUGCAAUAUCAAUAUAAACUCUUUAUAUAGUCUAUACAGAACAUUGAACAAAAUGAGAAAUCAAAUAAACAGAAAUCUUAUAAAUCUCUGAAAGUCACUAGAUGUGCACUCUUGAUGGAUUCUCUUGAAAACAUAGAAACCAAAUAAACAUAAGUCUUAUAAGUCUCUGAAAGUCUUUGUAGACAAUGCAAGUCUCUGAAAGAAGCAAUGUGUCCGAUUCUUAUCUGAUGAAAACAAGCCAUAAAGCUUUGUUUUAUGACGUCCAACGCUUCCGAAGUGGUCCGCAAACAGACGUAGUGAACAGUGAUUCCGGAUAUACCCACUGUUUCGUAGAAUUCUUCUUCAGCACAGCAGAAGGAUACGGAAAUGCUUCAUAAAAC